AGAGUUUGAUCAUGGCUCAGAUUGAACGCUGGCGGCAUGCCUUACACAUGCAAGUCGAGCGGCAGCGCGGGGGCAACCCUGGCGGCGAGCGGCGAACGGGUGAGUAAUGCAUCGGAACGUGUCCUCUUGUGGGGGAUAACCAGUCGAAAGAUUGGCUAAUACCGCAUGAGAUCGAGAGAUGAAAGCAGGGGACCGCAAGGCCUUGCGCGAGAGGAGCGGCCGAUGCCGGAUUAGCUAGUUGGUGGGGUAAAGGCCUACCAAGGCGACGAUCCGUAGCUGGUCUGAGAGGACGACCAGCCACACUGGGACUGAGACACGGCCCAGACUCCUACGGGAGGCAGCAGUGGGGAAUUUUGGACAAUGGGGGCAACCCUGAUCCAGCCAUGCCGCGUGUGUGAAGAAGGCCUUCGGGUUGUAAAGCACUUUCGGACGGAACGAAAUCGCGCGAUCUAAUAAGUCGCGUGGAUGACGGUACCGUAAGAAGAAGCACCGGCUAACUACGUGCCAGCAGCCGCGGUAAUACGUAGGGUGCGAGCGUUAAUCGGAAUUACUGGGCGUAAAGUGUGCGCAGGUGGCUGAGCAAGUCGAGUGUGAAAUCCCCGGGCUUAACUUGGGAAUUGCGCUCGAAACUACUUGGCUCGAGUGUGGCAGAGGAAGGUGGAAUUCCAGGUGUAGCGGUGAAAUGCGUAGAGAUCUGGAGGAAC
RNAcentral lists this ribosomal RNA (704 nucleotides) under uncultured bacterium. Its description in RNAcentral is "bacterial SSU rRNA". It matches the Rfam family "Bacterial small subunit ribosomal RNA", at positions 8 to 707 of the family's 1533-position model. The record is from RNAcentral.